This 253-nucleotide ribosomal RNA is filed under the name uncultured bacterium. Its description in RNAcentral is "partial 16S ribosomal RNA". It matches the Rfam family "Bacterial small subunit ribosomal RNA", at positions 524 to 776 of the family's 1533-position model. The record is from RNAcentral.
GACAGAGGGUGCAAACGUUGUUCGGAAUUACUGGGCGUAAAGCGCGUGUAGGCGGCCCUGCAAGUCGGAUGUGAAAUCCCACGGCUCAACCGUGGAAGUGCAUUCGAAACUGCAGGGCUAGAGUCCUGGAGAGGAAGGUGGAAUGCUUGGUGUAGCGGUGAAAUGCGUAGAUAUCUGGAGGAACACCGGUGGCGAAGGCGGCAUCCUGGACCGGUAUUGACGCUGAGGCGCGAAAGCCAGGGGAGCAAACGGG